GGGGCCCGCACAAGCGGUGGAGCAUGUGGUUUUAAUUCGACGCAACGCGAAGAACCUUACCAGGGCUUGACAUCCCCUGACCGCGUAUGAAAGUACGUUUUCACCCUCGGGUGACAGGGAGACAGGUGGUGCAUGGUUGUCGUCAGCUCGUGUCGUGAGAUGUUGGUUAAGUCCCGCAACGAGCGCAACCCCUACGUUUAGUUGCUAACGCGUGAAGGCGAGCACUCUAGACGAACUGCCGUUGACAAACGGAGGAAGUGGGGAUGACGUCAAAUCAUCAUGCCCCUUAUGUUCUGGGCUACACACGUGCUACAAUGGCCGGUACAGACGGACGCAAAGCCGCGAGGUGGAGCAAAUCCUAAAAGCCGGUCUCAGUUCGGAUUGCAGGCUGCAAUUCGCCUGCAUGAAGUCGGAAUCGCUAGUAAUCGCAGGUCAGCAUACUGCGGUGAAUACGUUCCCGGGCCUU
This 466-nucleotide ribosomal RNA is filed under the name uncultured Pelotomaculum sp. RNAcentral's name for it is "bacterial SSU rRNA". It matches the Rfam family "Bacterial small subunit ribosomal RNA", at positions 916 to 1382 of the family's 1533-position model. Lineage: Bacteria; Bacillati; Bacillota; Clostridia; Eubacteriales; Desulfotomaculaceae. The record is from RNAcentral.